GACGAACGCUGGCGGCGUGCUUAACACAUGCAAGUCGAACGAAGAGCGAUGGAAGCUUGCUUCUAUCAAUCUUAGUGGCGAACGGGUGAGUAACGCGUAAUCAACCUGCCCUUCAGAGGGGGACAACAGUUGGAAACGACUGCUAAUACCGCAUACGAUCUAAACUCGGCAUCGAGGAUAGAUGAAAGGUGGCCUCUACAUGUAAGCUAUCACUGAAGGAGGGGAUUGCGUCUGAUUAGCUAGUUGGAGGGGUAACGGCCCACCAAGGCGAUGAUCAGUAGCCGGUCUGAGAGGAUGAACGGCCACAUUGGGACUGAGACACGGCCCAGACUCCUACGGGAGGCAGCAGUGGGGAAUCUUCCGCAAUGGACGAAAGUCUGACGGAGCAACGCCGCGUGAGUGAUGACGGCCUUCGGGUUGUAAAGCCCUGUUAAUCGGGACGAAAGGCCUUCUUGCGAAUAGUGAGAAGGAUUGACGGUACCGGAAUAGAAAGCCACGGCUAACUACGUG
Molecule: ribosomal RNA, 510 nt
Filed under: uncultured bacterium
Lineage: Bacteria
Description: partial 16S ribosomal RNA
Rfam family: Bacterial small subunit ribosomal RNA
Source: RNAcentral